Molecule: ribosomal RNA, 285 nt
Filed under: Nitrososphaerota archaeon
Lineage: Archaea; Thermoproteati; Nitrososphaerota
Description: Thaumarchaeota archaeon partial 16S ribosomal RNA
Rfam family: Archaeal small subunit ribosomal RNA
Source: RNAcentral
GACCCCGGUUGAUCCUACCGGACCCGACUGCUAUCGGAAUAGGACUAAGCCAUGCGAGUUGAACGCUUCUUGACCAUGCGAGAAACGUAGCACACGGCUCAGUAACACGUAGUCAACCUGCCCUGAGGACGCGGAUAACCCCGGGAAACUGGGACUAAGCCGCGAUAGGCCACGACAUCUGGAAUGAGUAGUGGCUCAAAAGGGAAGAUGGGCAUGUUUAUCCUCACGCCUCAGGAUGGGACUGCGGCCGAUCAGGCUGUUGGCGGGGUAAUGGCCCACCAAACC